This 253-nucleotide ribosomal RNA is filed under the name uncultured bacterium. RNAcentral's name for it is "partial 16S ribosomal RNA". It matches the Rfam family "Bacterial small subunit ribosomal RNA", at positions 524 to 776 of the family's 1533-position model. The record is from RNAcentral.
UACAGAGGAGCUAAGCGUUGUCCGGAUUGACUGGGCGUAAAGCGCACGCAGGCGGGGGUGCGCGUGGGGUGUGAAAUCUGGCCGCUUAACGGCCAGGCGCCAUCCCAUACGGCACGCCUGGAGCCUUGCAGAGGUCGGUGGAAUUGCCGGUGUAGUGGUGAAAUGCGUAGAGAUCGGCAGGAACACCCAGGGGGAAACCAGCCGACUGGGCAAGUGCUGACGCUGAGGUGCGAGAGCGUGGGGAGCGAACCGG